AUGGUCUUCCAAGAACCUAAGCAAUGGUACAAAUGGCUGUCAUUUGCAGAAUGGUGGUACAACACUUCUUUUCACUCUGGAAUCAAACAGUCACCAUUCGAAGCGUUAUACAACUACCCACCCCCUAUGAUUGGCGAGUUUGUUCUGUCAGAUACAUUCAGUCCAGCAGUUCAGUUAACAGUUACUAAAAAGCAACAGUUACUGCACAAGCUGAAAGAAAAUCUCCAAGCUGCUCAAGAAUGCAUGAAAAUGCAAGCUGACAAGUUAAGGACAGAAAGACAAUUGAAGGAAGGAGCAAUGGUAUAUAUCAGAAUCCAACCUUAUCGCCAGCAUCCAUUUGGGUUAAGGGGAUCACUGAAACUGUGA
Molecule: ribosomal RNA, 366 nt
Filed under: Triticum aestivum (bread wheat)
Lineage: Eukaryota; Viridiplantae; Streptophyta; Magnoliopsida; Poales; Poaceae
Description: partial small subunit ribosomal RNA
Source: RNAcentral